This 403-nucleotide long non-coding RNA is filed under the name Citrus sinensis (sweet orange). Its description in RNAcentral is "long non-coding RNA (CSIN_LNC000342)". Lineage: Eukaryota; Viridiplantae; Streptophyta; Magnoliopsida; Sapindales; Rutaceae. The record is from RNAcentral.
UGUUGGUGUGAAGGUGGAUAGGCCAGCUGAUGAGCCCAUGCCUGAAGCACCAACUGAAGUGAUUGGAGCUUGAACGUGAAUGAAGAAAUUUUUCUAGUUUUGUUUUUCACUACUAUUCUGAUCUGGGCAGUUUUGUUUGUUAUGAAUUCAUCAUAUAUGAAUGUUUCAAGUUGUUUGCAGAUUUUAAAUAUUCUAGCUGAGAUGGUUACUGUUGUUUCUAUGGUAAGAACAUGUGCUUUCUUCUUGCUUUAUUCUAGUGGACUAGAUUCAUGACAUUAUCCAAAAUUUCGUCAAAUUAAAGAUGCAUUUCUCACUUCAUUUUGGUCGAAAUAACUGCGGCUAAAAGUGUCUAUCUCAUUAAUAUUUAUAUGUUAUUCAAAUUAUAAAAAUGUUUAAAGUUCAC